AACCUUAUGGACCUGCGGGCGUAUACCUGCGGAGGGAUCAUUAUCAAAACAGCGGCCUUCGGGCCUUGCUGCACCCUUGUCUUUUGCGCACCGUAUUGUUUCCUCGGCGGGCUUGCCUGCCGGUUGGACAUUAUCAAACCUUUUUGUAGUUGCAAUCAGCGUCAGAAAAACAAUAAUUAUUACAACUUUCAACAAUGGAUCU
This 202-nucleotide unclassified non-coding RNA is filed under the name soil metagenome. RNAcentral describes it as "partial contains 5.8S ribosomal RNA, internal transcribed spacer 2, and large subunit ribosomal RNA". The record is from RNAcentral.